GCCCCCCCCCCCCCACACACACACACACGCACACACACACACAAACAAAGAGGCGUUAGGCUGAGACGCUGAAAGUCCGGAUUUAAAGUGCAGAAAAGGAAGCCAUUGAAUCUGCCUGUCCAUGACGUACAAAGACACACUAUGAGCCAGUAUGAUCCGACCAGACCUUACAUCAGCAUUGAGGAGUUGUCGGAGAAGAAAGAGGCUGAUUGAAGCGGGACAGAUGACAUGGAUCCAUCCUUCCACAGCCAGGAGUGCACCGACCUGUGUCCCACACUUCAUAUAAGACUGGAAGCUACACUGAUCUCACAGCUACACACCACAGACGUCUACACACUGGAGAAGAGUCCCACAAAGAAGUCAUGACCCAGAGGCUGCAGAGAAACAUUUCAAGCCUCAUCUGAGUUUUUGUACAAUAUUUUUGCUGUAUGUAAAUAAAGCUUUCACUCCACAUA
Limanda limanda (common dab) is the source of this 455-nucleotide long non-coding RNA. RefSeq lists it as uncharacterized. The transcript is spliced from 3 exons. NCBI's taxonomy places the organism in Eukaryota, Metazoa, Chordata, Actinopteri, Pleuronectiformes, Pleuronectidae. The record is from RefSeq and is a predicted model, not a curated record.